UCUCCUACCGAUUGAGUGAUCCGGUGAAUUAUUCGGACUGACGCAGUGCUCAGCUUCUGGACGUUGCGUUGGAAAGUUUCAUGAACCUUAUCACUUAGAGGAAGGAGAAGUCGUAACAAGGUUUCCGUAGGUGAACCUGCAGAAGGAUCACUUUCCGUUUUGCUUCGUGUUGGGUAAGUGUUUUGUUCUCGCUUGUCUCCGUAUCUUUUUCAUAUUACUUUUCUCUUCUUUCUUCUUUCUUCCUCUUUUUUUUUCUCUUUCUUCUUUUUUCUCUCUU
Molecule: unclassified non-coding RNA, 277 nt
Filed under: sea anemone metagenome
Description: partial contains small subunit ribosomal RNA and internal transcribed spacer 1
Rfam family: Eukaryotic small subunit ribosomal RNA (bases 1-153)
Source: RNAcentral